UGCCAGACUCCUACGGGAGGCAGCAGUGGGGAAUAUUGGGCAAUGGGCGCAAGCCUGACCCAGCAACGCCGCGUGAAGGAAGAAGGCUUUCGGGUUGUAAACUUCUUUUAAGAGGGAAGAGUAGAAGACGGUACCUCUUGAAUAAGCCACGGCUAACUACGUGCCAGCAGCCGCGGUAAUACGUAGGGGGCAAGCGUUAUCCGGAUUCACUGGGUGUAAAGGGAGCGUAGACGGCCAUGCAAGCCUGGAGUGAAAGCCCGGGGCCCAACCCCGGGACUGCUCUGGGAACUGUGCGGCUGGAGUGCGGGAGGGGCAGGCGGAAUUCCUGGUGUAGCGGUGAAAUGCGUAGAUAUCAGGAGGAACACCGGCGGCGAAGGCGGCCUGCUGGACCGCGACUGACGUUGAGGCUCGAAAGCGUGGGGAGCAAACAGGAUUAGAUACCCCAGUAA
This 449-nucleotide ribosomal RNA is filed under the name uncultured bacterium. Its description in RNAcentral is "bacterial SSU rRNA". It matches the Rfam family "Bacterial small subunit ribosomal RNA", at positions 329 to 793 of the family's 1533-position model. The record is from RNAcentral.